GAUGAACGCUGGCGGCGUGCCUAAUACAUGCAAGUCGAGCGAACGGACGAGAAGCUUGCUUCUCUGAUGUUAGCGGCGGACGGGUGAGUAACACGUGGAUAACCUACCUAUAAGACUGGGAUAACUUCGGGAAACCGGAGCUAAUACCGGAUAAUAUUUUGAACCGCAUGGUUCAAAAGUGAAAGACGGUCUUGCUGUCACUUAUAGAUGGAUCCGCGCUGCAUUAGCUAGUUGGUAAGGUACGGCUUACCAAGGCAACGAUGCAUAGCCGACCUGAGAGGGUGGUCGGCCACACUGGAGCUGAGACACGGUCCAGACUCCUACGGGAGGCAGCAGUAGGGAAUCUUCCGCAAAGGGCGAAAGCCUGACGGAGCAACGCCGCGUGAGUGAUGAAGGUCUUCGGAUCGUAAAACUCUGUUAUUAGGGAAGAACAUAUGUGUAAGUAACUGUGCACAUCUUGACGGUACCUAAUCAGAAAGCCACGGCUAACUACGUG
RNAcentral lists this ribosomal RNA (496 nucleotides) under uncultured bacterium. Its description in RNAcentral is "partial 16S ribosomal RNA". It matches the Rfam family "Bacterial small subunit ribosomal RNA", at positions 28 to 507 of the family's 1533-position model. The record is from RNAcentral.